AGGGCGUAUGGCGGAUGCCUAGGCUCACGGAGGCGAUGAAGGACGUGAUAAGCUGCGAUAAGCUUCGGGUAGGUGCAAAUAACCUUUGAUCCGGAGAUUUCCGAAUGGGACAACCUAGCCGUCUGAAGGACGGUUACUAGCACUUAAGUGUUAGAGCUAACGCAGGGAACUGAAACAUCUUAGUACCUGCAGGAAGAGAAAAUAAAUGAAUGAUUCCCCCAGUAGUGGCGAGCGAACGGGGAACAGCCCAAACCAGUGGCGUCGCAAGGCGUGGCUGGGGUUGUAGGACCGCGACAUUGUAUGCAAAUCGUGAACAGAACACUUUGGAAAAUGUGACCAUAGACGGUGAUAGUCCAGUAUGUGAAGCGAAAUGCAGCAUAGCGGUAUCCUGAGUAACGCGGGACACGAGGAAUCCUGCGCGAAUCUGCCGGGACCAUCCGGUAAGGCUAAAUACUCCCGUGAGACCGAUAGCGAACGAGUACUGUGAAGGAAAGGUGAAAAGAACCCCGAGCAGGGGAGUGAAAUAGUUCCUGAAACCAUGCGCCUACAAGCGGUCGGAGCAUCUUAAGAUGUGACGGCGUGCCUUUUGCAUAAUGAUCCUACGAGUUACCGUCACUGGCGAGGUUGAGUGUCACGAGACACGUAGCCGCAGUGAAAGCGAGCCUGAACAGGGCGCACAGUCAGUGGGGGUAGACGCGAAACCAAGUGAUCUACACUUGGCCAGGAUGAAGUCCCGGUAACACGGGAUGGAGGUCCGCACCAAUAAGCGUUGAAAAGCUUCUGGAUGAGCCGAGUGUAGGAGUGAAAGGCCAAUCAAACUUGGAGAUAGCUCGUACUCCCCGAAAGGCAUUUAGGUGCCGCGUCGGAUGGUCACCGUGAGAGGUAGAGCGACCGAUAGGACAAGAGGGCUUCACCGCCUAUCGAGUCCUGACGAACUCCGAAUGCUCACGGUUUGCAGUCCGGCAGUAAGGGGGCGGGUGCUAAGGUCCGUCCCCGAGAGGAGAAGAAUCCAGACCGCCGUCUAAGGUCCCGGAGUUCUGCCUGAGUUAGUCUAACGAAGUCUGGUCCCUAUGACAGCUAGGAUGUUGGCUUGGAAGCAGCCAUUCAUUCAAAGAGUGCGUAACAGCUCACUAGUCGAGGGUCCGGGCAUGGAUAAUAAUCGGGUAUAAGGCAGACACCGAAGGCGCGGGAUAGCAAUUUUAAAAGUAUCGGUAGGGGAGCAUACUCACAGCGUCGAAUGGUGUACGUAAGUUAUCCUGGAGCGGUGAGUAAAGCAAAUGUAGGAAUAAGUAACGAUAAGGAGGGUUAGAUUCCCUCCCGCUGUAAGACCAAGGUUUCCCGGGCAAUGCCAAUCAGCCCGGGGUCAGUCGGGUCCUAAGUCUAAGCCGAACGGCGAUGGCGAUGGCAGAGACGGUUAAUAUUCCGUCACUGCCGCAUGGGGCGACGUGGAGACGGAGCAGUGAAACCACCGCGGGGCGACGGAAGUCCCCGUUGAAGAGUGUAGGCGUUGAGGAUGGCAGGCAAAUCCACCAUCCGAGCUGAACUUGACAGUACGGAGUCCUCCUCGGAGGAAUCUGAUAGUGUGGGUAAUCAUACUCCCGAGAAAAUCCGCUAAGCUUAACCCAUGCGGCACCCGUACCGCAAACGGACACACGUGGUCGGGUAGAACAUACUAAGGCGUUGAGAGAUUCAUGGUUAAGGAACUAGGCAAAUUGACCCUGUAACUUCGGGAUAAAGGGUCCUCGUGAUGAGCGAGGCGCAGAGAAUAGGUCCAGGCAACUGUUUAACAAAAACACAGGGCUGUGCAAACUCGAAAGAUGACGUAUACAGCCUGACACCUGCCCGGUGCCGGAAGGUUAAGAGGAGAUGUCACCAGCAAUGGGAAGCAUUGAAUUGAAGCCCCGGUAAACGGCGGCCGUAACUAUAACGGUCCUAAGGUAGCGAAAUUCCUUGUCGGGUAAGUUCCGACCUGCACGAAUGGUGUAAUGAUCUGGACGCUGUCUCAACCGUGAGCUCAGUGAAAUUGUAGUAUCGGUGAAGAUGCCGAUUACCCGCGAUGGGACGAAAAGACCCCGUGAACCUUUACUACAGCUUAGCAUUGACCUUGGUCAUCCGAUGUGUAGGAUAGGCCGGAGGCUUUGAAGCGGGAGCGCCAGCUUUCGUGGAGCCAUCCUUGAAAUACGGCCCUUUGGCUGUCUGAGGUCUAACGCGUGAUUACGCGGACACUGCUUGGUGGGUAGUUUGACUGGGGUGGUCGCCUCCAAAAGCGUAACGGAGGCUUCCAAAGGUGCCCUCGGGUCGAUUGGUAACCGACCUCAAAGAGUGCAAUGGCAUAAGGGCGCUUGACUGGGAGGCAGACAUGCCGAGCAGGCAGGAAACUGGGGCAUAGUGAUCCGGCGGAUGUGUAUGGAAACUCCGUCGCUCAAAGGAUAAAAGGUACUCCGGGGAUAACAGGCUGAUCCCCCCCAAGAGCUCAUAUCGACGGAGUGGUUUGGCACCUCGAUGUCGGCUCGUCACAUCCUGGGGCUGGAGAAGGUCCCAAGGGUUGGGCUGUUCGCCCAUUAAAGUGGCACGCGAGCUGGGUUCAGAACGUCGUGAGACAGUUCGGUCUCUAUCUAUCGUGGGCGUGGGAGUUUUGAGUGGUGCCGUCACUAGUACGAGAGGACCGUGAUGGACAGACCUCCGGUUUACCAGUUGUGCCGCCAGGCGCACCGCUGGGUAUCUGAGUCUGGAUUGGAUAAGCGCUGAAAGCAUCUAAGUGCGAAGCCAGCCGCAAGAUGAGAACUCCAUUGAGGGUCGUCAAAGACGAUGACGUUGAUAGGAUGCAGGUGUAAAGACAGCGAUGUCAAAGCCGAGCAUUACUAAUUGCCCGAACACUUUCUUU
This 2884-nucleotide ribosomal RNA is filed under the name human gut metagenome. RNAcentral describes it as "bacterial LSU rRNA". It matches the Rfam family "Bacterial large subunit ribosomal RNA". The record is from RNAcentral.